Molecule: unclassified non-coding RNA, 113 nt
Organism: Cavia aperea (Brazilian guinea pig)
Lineage: Eukaryota; Metazoa; Chordata; Mammalia; Rodentia; Caviidae
Rfam family: Y RNA
About the family: Y RNAs are components of the Ro ribonucleoprotein particle (Ro RNP), in association with Ro60 and La proteins.
Source: Ensembl
GGCUGGUCCGAAGGUAGUGAGUUAUCUCAAUUGAUUGUUCACAGUCAGUACAGAUUGAACUCCUUGUUCUUCUCUUUCCCUCCUUUCUCACUACUGCACUUGACUAAUUUUAA